AGACCCGAAACCCGGUGAUCUAGCCAUGGGCAGGUUGAAGGUUGGGUAACACUAACUGGAGGACCGAACCGACUAAUGUUGAAAAAUUAGCGGAUGACCUGUGGCUGGGGGUGAAAGGCCAAUCAAACCGGGAGAUAGCUGGUUCUCCCCGAAAGCUAUUUAGGUAGCGCCUCGUGAAUUCAUCUCCGGGGGUAGAGCACUGUUUCGGCUAGGGGGCCAUCCCGGCUUACCAACCCGAUGCAAACUGCGAAUACCGGAGAAUGUUAUCACGGGAGACACACGGCGGGUGCUAACGUCCGUCGUGAAGAGGGAAACAACCCAGACCGCCAGCUAAGGUCCCAAAGUCAUGGUUAAGUGGGAAACGAUGUGGGAAGGCCCAGACAGCCAGGAUGUUGGCUUAGAAGCAGCCAUCAUUUAAAGAAAGCGUAAUAGCUCACUGGUCGAGUCGGCCUGCGCGGAAGAUGUAACGGGGCUAAACCAUGCACCGAAGCUGCGGCAGCGACACUCAGGUGUUGUUGGGUAGGGGAGCGUUCUGUAAGCCUGUGAAGGUGGCCUGUGAGGGUUGCUGGAGGUAUCAGAAGUGCGAAUGCUGACAUAAGUAACGAUAAAGCGGGUGAAAAGCCCGCUCGCCGGAAGACCAAGGGUUCCUGUCCAACGUUAAUCGGGGCAGGGUGAGUCGACCCCUAAGGCGAGGCCGAAAGGCGUAGUCGAUGGGAAACGGGUUAAUAUUCCCGUACUUGGUGUUACUGCGAAGGGGGGACGGAGAAGGCUAUGUUGGCCGGGCGACGGUUGUCCCGGUUUAAGCGUGUAGGCUGGUUUUCCAGGCAAAUCCGGAAAAUCAAGGCUGAGGCGUGAUGACGAGGCACUACGGUGCUGAAGCAACAAAUGCCCUGCUUCCAGGAAAAGCCUCUAAGCAUCAGGUAACAUCAAAUCGUACCCCAAACCGACACAGGUGGUCAGGUAGAGAAUACCAAGGCGCUUGAGAGAACUCGGGUGAAGGAACUAGGCAAAAUGGUGCCGUAACUUCGGGAGAAGGCACGCUGACACGUAGGUGAAGU
RNAcentral lists this ribosomal RNA (1058 nucleotides) under Salmonella enterica subsp. enterica serovar Liverpool. RNAcentral's name for it is "partial 23S ribosomal RNA". It matches the Rfam family "Bacterial large subunit ribosomal RNA", at positions 711 to 1772 of the family's 2925-position model. Lineage: Bacteria; Pseudomonadati; Pseudomonadota; Gammaproteobacteria; Enterobacterales; Enterobacteriaceae. The record is from RNAcentral.